RNAcentral lists this ribosomal RNA (1541 nucleotides) under uncultured fungus. RNAcentral's name for it is "eukaryotic LSU rRNA". The stretch from base 747 to 1541 matches the Rfam family "Eukaryotic large subunit ribosomal RNA", at positions 1 to 667 of the family's 3401-position model. The record is from RNAcentral. Lineage: Eukaryota; Fungi.
CUUGGUCAUUUAGAGGAAGUAAAAGUCGUAACAAGGUUUCCGUAGGUGAACCUGCGGAAGGAUCAUCAACAAAUCCAAAACUUUGACCAUACACCUGUGUGAACCAGAAGAGAAAAAGCCCUUCUGGAACGAAAGUUCUUGAAGAAGCUUUUCCCUUUUCUAUUUUUCCAAACCCAGAAUUUUCUUGUGACUGAUUGUUUUUACGUCUCGAAAGAGAUACAACCAAAAACAACUUUUAACAAUGGAUCUCUUGGUUCUCGCAACGAUGAAGAACGCAGCGAAAUGCGAUAGCUAAUGUGAAUUGCAGAAUUCCGUGAAUCAUCAAGUCUUUGAACGCACUUUGCGCUUCUAGGCAUUCCUGGGAGCACGCUUGUCUGAGUAUCAUUAAAUCUUAUCAUUCAAUCAAAUGACUGAAGAAAGUCAUUUUUCAGGUUGUUUAUGAAUGGAUGUGAAGGUCUUGGGUGGAUUUGUUUUCGCUCAAGUCCUUUUAAAUUCAGAGAAAGAGAAGUCUCUAAACAGCGGCUGUCCUGACAAAAGGUUUUUUUGUCUGGGUUGACCCGACUUCCAUGAACAACGAUGCGUUGAUUUGUGUCUUUUUUAGUUCAAAAGAGACCAAUUUUGGCCAUCGGUUUUCAGUAAUGGAGGUGGUAUGGUUUUCUCGGCGGAUUAAUCGGCCAGUGUGCUGUUCUGAAAAAAUCUUUCUACUACGAGUAUACCGAAGAGGAAGCAAUUCUUCUUUGACCACAUGAUCUCAGAUCAAGCGAGACUACCCGCUGAACUUAAGCAUAUUAAUAAGCGGAGGAAAAGAAACUAACAAGGAUUCCCCUAGUAACGGCGAGUGAAGCGGGAAAAGCUCAAAUUUUAAAUCUGGGAGCAAUCCCCGAAUUGUAGUUUAUAGAUGCGUUUUCGGUAACGUCCUGGGUAUAAGUUCUUUGGAACAGGGCAUCAUAGAGGGUGAGAAUCCCGUUUAUGACCCGGGAUGCGUUGCUAUGUGAUACGUUAUCUAAGAGUCGGGUUGUUUGGGACUGCAGCCCAAAAUGGGUGGUAAAUUUCAUCUAAAGCUAAAUAUGGGCGAGAAACCGAUAGCGAACAAGUACCGUGAGGGAAAGAUGAAAAGCACCUUGAGAAGGGAGUCAAAUAGUACGUGAAAUUGUUAAAAGGGAAACGUUUGGAACUAGUGAUUGUUGUCUUUUGUUCAGUUUGGCCUGUCGGCUCUGCGGCGGUGGAUGAGGGUUAAACCCAUUGCUGUCGUAUCAAGUCGGUUGGUCAGGUGCACUCAAGGGAUGACUAGUCAACAUGAGUUUCGGACGCCAGAUACGUCCCGCAGGAAGGUAGGUUACUUCGGUGACUGUUAUAGCCUGUGGGUACCAUGGUGUCUGAGACUAAGGCGUUGCAGUGUAUAGCGGGCUUGUUGUUUGGCUUUUGCGCAGUCGGAUGCUCUACUUGUAGGUCGCUGGCUGUGUGGGGGCACGACGGUGAGUCUUCGUACACUCAAGAUGUUGACGAAAUGGUUCCAACCGACCCGUCUUGAAACACGGACC